CUUUUGUUUACGAGAAUCCAACGCUCAAUCAAGUACAAACACGUUUAUUUUACUCCAAAUUUCCUAAGAAAUUUAAAACCCAGUCUUUCACAUAGAAAUGCCAAAUUGUAUGUGUGCAAGUCAUGUUGGCAUAAUUUUUUUGUGUUGUCUUUAUGCAUUUUAAUUUCGUUCAAAAGUUGUUCCGCGAUUGUGUUGUAAAUUUUUAUGAAUGCUGCAUCAAAAUUAAAUGUUCUUAUCUUAUCUCAUUCAAUACAGAAUCAAAAAUAAAUAUUAAAAUUAUUACCAUAGAGUGAUUUAACCCAGCUUUCUCCUGUUUGGUGCCUGAUUUUACUGGUAAGAUCAAUAGUCAAAUUGAAAGUGACAGUUUUCUCAAAAGUUCAC
RNAcentral lists this long non-coding RNA (381 nucleotides) under Mytilus galloprovincialis (Mediterranean mussel). Lineage: Eukaryota; Metazoa; Mollusca; Bivalvia; Mytilida; Mytilidae. The record is from RNAcentral.